UCAUUAGUUUUUUAAUUGAAAGCUUGUAUGAAUGGUUUGAUGAGAAAAUGACUUUCUAUGUUUAAUUUUAAGAAUUUUAUUUUUAAGUUAAAAAGCUUAAAUUUUUAUAAAAGACGAGAAGACCCUAUAGAGUUUUAUUUUUACAAAAUUUUAAAUUUUUAGAAUUUAAUUAAUUUUAAAUUUUUUAAAAAUUUGAUUGGGGUGAUUAAAAAAUUUAAUAAACUUUUUUUUUAUAAUUACAUUAAUUAAUGAAUAUUUGAUCUAUAUAAAUGAUUAAAAGAAUAAAUUACCUUAGGGAUAACAGCGUUAUUUUUUUUUAGAGUUCAAAUCGAAAAAAAAGAUUGCGACCUCGAUGUUGGAUUAAAAUUAAUUUUAGGUGUAGAAGCUUAAA
Molecule: ribosomal RNA, 391 nt
Filed under: Synonycha grandis
Lineage: Eukaryota; Metazoa; Arthropoda; Insecta; Coleoptera; Coccinellidae
Description: partial 16S ribosomal RNA
Source: RNAcentral